AGGCUUAAUACAUGCAAGUCGAGGGGUCAGCGGGGGUAGCAAUACCUGCCGGCGACCGGCAAACGGGUGAGGAACAUGUACGCAACCUUCCUUUAACUGGAGGAUAGCCCCUCGAAAGAGGGAUUAAUACUCCGUAACAUAAUGAGAUGGCAUCAUUUUAUUAUUAUAGUUCCGGCGGUUAAAGAUGGGCGUGCAACUGAUUAGAUAGUUGGCGGGGUAACGGCCCACCAAGUCAGCGAUCAGUAACAGGUGUGAGAGCACGACCAGUCACACGGGCACUGAGACACGGGCCCGACUCCUACGGGAGGCAGCAGUAAGGAAUAUUGGUCAAUGGACGCAAGUCUGAACCAGCCAUGCCGCGUGGAGGAUUAAGGCCCUCUGGGUUGUAAACUCCUUUUAUCUGGGAAGAAAUGUUUCGAUUCUUCGAAGCUUGACGGUACCAGAGGAAUAAGCACCGGCUAACUCCGUGCCAGCAGCCGCGGUAAUACGGAGGGUGCAAGCGUUAUCCGGAUUCACUGGGUUUAAAGGGUGCGUAGGCGGGUAGAUAAGUCAGUGGUGAAAUCUCCGAGCUUAACUCGGAAACUGCCAUUGAUACUAUUUAUCUUGAAUAUUGUGGAGGUAAGCGGAAUAUGUCAUGUAGCGGUGAAAUGCU
Molecule: ribosomal RNA, 652 nt
Filed under: uncultured bacterium
Lineage: Bacteria
Description: bacterial SSU rRNA
Rfam family: Bacterial small subunit ribosomal RNA
Source: RNAcentral